UUGUAUCUAUUGACAGACCUGGAGCAACUACUGUUUGCUGCUAAGAUGUCCACUACAGGUGCAAGAAAAAAGUAUUCUUGCCCUUUCUGUCUUUCUGAUUAUGGCAGUCAAGAUUGAAUUAGGGACUACAGGA
This is a small nucleolar RNA of Pteropus vampyrus (large flying fox), 133 nucleotides long. NCBI's taxonomy places the organism in Eukaryota, Metazoa, Chordata, Mammalia, Chiroptera, Pteropodidae. The record is from Ensembl.